This 89-nucleotide microRNA precursor is filed under the name Canis lupus familiaris (dog). RNAcentral describes it as "mir-8799 microRNA precursor family". It matches the Rfam family "mir-8799 microRNA precursor family". RNAcentral also lists the same sequence under 1 other name. Lineage: Eukaryota; Metazoa; Chordata; Mammalia; Carnivora; Canidae. The record is from Rfam by way of RNAcentral.
GGGGGGAGUCCGGAUCCUGGGCUGUGUCCCGGCGCCCUGUGCUCCGGAGCCUGCGCUGUUGGAUUCGCGCUCCCGCCCCGCAGCCCCCU